AUUGAACGCUGGCGGCAUGCUUUACACAUGCAAGUCGAACGGCAGCGCGGGCUUCGGCCUGGCGGCGAGUGGCGAACGGGUGAGUAAUGCAUCGGAACGUGCCCAGUAGUGGGGGAUAGCCCGGCGAAAGCCGGAUUAAUACCGCAUACGACCUGAGGGUGAAAGCGGGGGACCGAAAGGCCUCGCGCUAUUGGAGCGGCCGAUGUCGGAUUAGCUAGUUGGUGGGGUAAAGGCUUACCAAGGCGACGAUCCGUAGCUGGUCUGAGAGGACGACCAGCCACACUGGGACUGAGACACGGCCCAGACUCCUACGGGAGGCAGCAGUGGGGAAUUUUGGACAAUGGGGGCAACCCUGAUCCAGCCAUGCCGCGUGCGGGAAGAAGGCCUUCGGGUUGUAAACCGCUUUUGUUCGGGAAGAAAUCCUCUGGGCUAAUACCCCGGGGGGAUGACGGUACAGGAAGAAUAAGCACCGGCUAACUACGUG
Molecule: ribosomal RNA, 484 nt
Filed under: uncultured bacterium
Lineage: Bacteria
Description: partial 16S ribosomal RNA
Rfam family: Bacterial small subunit ribosomal RNA
Source: RNAcentral